GCCAGAUAAGGGAAGCAGGCCUCCGAAGCCAGCAGUGGCAACCCACUUGGGUCCCUUUCAAUGCUGUGGAAGCGUUGUUCUUUCACUCUUCUCAAUAAAUCUUGCUGCUGCUCACUCUUUGGGUCUGCCCCGCUGUUAUGAGCUGUAACACUCACAGCCAGUGUCUGCAGUUUCACUCCUGAAGCCAGCAAGACCACAAACCCACAGGGCGGGACAAACAACUCCGGACAGGAGGAAUGAACAACUCUGGACGCGCCACUUCUAUGAACUUUUAUGAACUGUAACACUCACCGCAAAGGUCUGCAGCUUCACCCCUGAGGCCAGGGAGACCACGAACCCACCGGAAGGAAUGAACAACUCCAGACGCACUGCCUUUAAGAGCUGUAACACUUACCACGGAUGUCUGCAGCUUCACUCCUGAAGUCAGCGAGACCACAAACCCAACAGAAGGAAGAAACUCCCGACACAUCUGAACAUCUGAAGGAACAAACUCUGGACACACCAUCUUUAAGAACUGUAACACUCACCGUGAGGGUCAACCGCUUCAUUCUUGAAGUCAGCCAGACCAAGAACCCACCAAUUCCGGGUUUCAUCAUUUUUGGCCAUGCUGGCCUUGAACGCCUAACCUCAAAUGAUCCACCUGCCUUGGCCUCCUGAAGUUCUGGGAGUUAUAGGCAUGAGUCACCAUGCCUGGCACCACAUAAAAUUAUUUUGUCAUUAACAUUACAUUUUAAAAUACAAACGCUGUUUUCCAUAUUACUCAGGUCAGAUCUUUUACCCCACUUCUCUCAGUGAGAUUGCAUUAUUUAUUUCCAUCUCUAUAAUCUACUGUUCAUCCAUCUAUCUAUCCAUCCCUCAAUUUAGUUUUUUCACUACAUUCUGCAUUUGAUUCUUUUGAGGGUGUAUGCUUGUGUUUGUGCGUGGAAGUGGGGGUGUGUGUGUGUGUGUGUGUUCAAAAAGGUCUACAGUUUCCUUUUUCUGUAAUAUCUGUGUCUGCUGUUGGUAUUAGGGUAAUGCUGAACUCAUAGAGUAUGUGAAAAGUUUUCUACAUUCUUUGAUUUUUCUGAAAGAAAUUGUGCAGAAUUCAUAUUAUUUCUUUCUUAAAUGCUCAAGUGUUUAUUAAAAUUUACCAGUAAAA
Molecule: long non-coding RNA, 1138 nt
Filed under: Homo sapiens (human)
Lineage: Eukaryota; Metazoa; Chordata; Mammalia; Primates; Hominidae
Description: long independently transcribed non-coding RNA 2377, transcript variant 11 (LINC02377)
Source: RNAcentral